CAGCCGCCGCGGUAAUACGUAGGGGGCGAGCGUUGUCCGGAAUUACUGGGCGUAAAGGGCGUGUAGGCGGCCUGUUAAGUCAGGGGUGAAAGACCGGGGCUCAACCCCGGGGGUGCCUCUGAAACUGGCGGGCUUGAGUGCUCUAGAGGGCAGUGGAAUUCCCGGUGUAGCAGUGAAAUGCGUAGAGAUCGGGAGGAACACCAGUGGCGAAGGCGGCUGCCUGGGGAGUCACUGACGCUGAGACGCGAAAGCUAGGGGAGCAAACAGGAUUAGAUACCCUGGUAGUCCUAGCCGUAAACGAUGAGCGCUAUGUGUGAGGGGUAUCGACCCCCCUCGUGCAGUAGCUAACGCAUUAAGCGCUCCGCCUGGGGAGUACGGCCGCAAGGUUGAAACUUAAAGGAAUUGGCGGG
Molecule: ribosomal RNA, 410 nt
Filed under: uncultured microorganism
Description: bacterial SSU rRNA
Rfam family: Bacterial small subunit ribosomal RNA
Source: RNAcentral